This 369-nucleotide ribosomal RNA is filed under the name Clathrodrillia walteri. RNAcentral's name for it is "partial small subunit ribosomal RNA". Lineage: Eukaryota; Metazoa; Mollusca; Gastropoda; Neogastropoda; Drilliidae. The record is from RNAcentral.
UCUUGAUUAUAAACUAAAAAAAAUUUACCAGAGUAGUAUGAAUAAAUAAAAUUUAAAACUCAAAGGGCUUGGCGGUGUCUUAGACCACUUAGGGGAACCUGUCUCAUAAUCGACAAUCCACGUUAAACCUAACCUUUUUUUGUUUUCAGCUUGUAUACCGUUGUCGUCAGGUAACUUUUUAGAAAUUAUAAGUUAGCUAUAAAUUAUAUUAAUUAUAACGUCAAAUCAAGGUGCAGCUUAUAAAAAGGAGAGGAUGGGUUACAAUUAUAAAUUUUAAUUACGGAGAAUUUUUUAAAAAUAAAAAUUUGAAGGAGGACUUAAAAGUAAAUUAGAUUAUAAAAAUAUUUUGAAUAAGGCUCUGAGACGUGC